This 113-nucleotide ribosomal RNA is filed under the name Pogona vitticeps (central bearded dragon). Lineage: Eukaryota; Metazoa; Chordata; Lepidosauria; Squamata; Agamidae. The record is from RNAcentral.
UAUAUCAACAGUGCUACCCUGGACACAUGCUGAUUUCAGAGGUUAAGCAGGAUUAGGCCUGGUUAAUGGUUGGAUGGGAGACUAUCAUGGGAUACCAAGGAUGUAUGAAAUGU